GUCUCCAGCCAGUUACUCUCAUGAUAGUACUGCUAUAAAACUCAUUCUUGUGUGGUGUUCUGUGCUAUAGAUUCUGUGUAUUGCUGUUCAUAUUCGGAGUUCUGGUUUUGUUUUUCCCUUAAAACCUGUUAACAGUUUUUUUUGGGGGUGGGGGGAUUCAGAACUCUUGUUUCCCAUUCCAUAGCACCUGACAUUAUUUCAAGUUUUAUAAUAUCUUAAGGUGUAUAUUUUAUUUUUUUUAUUGGCUUAGUUGUUUUUUGUUUUGUUUUGUUUGAGAUGGAGUUUCACUGUUGCCCAGGCUGGGGUGCAAUGGUGUGAUCUUGGCUCACUGCAGCCUCCACCUCCCGAGUUCAAAUGAUUCUCCUGCCUCAGCUUCCUGAGUAGCUGGGAUUACAGGUGCAUGCCACCAUGCCCGGCUAAUUUUUAUAUUUUUAUUAGAGACGGGAUUUCGCCAUGUUAACCAGGCUGGUCUCGAACUCCUGACCUCAGGUGAUCUGCCCGCCUUGGCCUCCCAAAGUGCUGGGAUUACAGGCAUGAGCCACCGUGCCUGGCCUUAUUGGCUUAGUUUUUAAAUUAUCCUCCAAAAAUUUUGGGCCUUUUUCUGUGGGGAAACAAGUGAAGCUGCUCUUCAGCAUAGACACUACCUUUAUCCCAUCAUUUUAGUAAAAACUAGGUUUGUUUCACUUCUGAGGUGUCUUAUUAAUGUACUUCAUCUGAGAAUUUGUUGAUCUUAAUGUUCGAGCUAUAUAAGAACUGCCAUUAAAAAAAAUGGGAUAAUAGAUGAUUUUAUCAGUAUACCUGUGGAAUAUGUACAAACUGGAUCUAUAGAUAUUUUGAACUGGACCAGGUGGGUAUUGAAGUAACCCAUCAAAAUAUGCUCUGCAGUGAUUCCGCUUAAUGUUUAAAUUCAGUAACGUACUUGAAAGGCAAAUUUCAGUGCUUUUGUAUGUUGGAGGAGGGCUUACUGAUGCGUGCUAAGACCGAUUUCUGAUUGAGGGAUGAACCUUGGGCUCAUUUUUUUCUUGUGAAGUCUCUUUCUAGAAAAUUUUUUGGUUUUGUUCUUUUUAAAAAAUACAUACUUUUUUGAAUGUAUCAUGUCUUCAUUAACAACAGAAAAUCCACAUGGUGUUUACUAAACUUGUUUACGACAUUAAAAAUUUCCUUUUUAUUUUUAGUAGCCCAGGUUGAGUUUUUCACAAGAGAUUUUUUUCUUAGCUGAGGUAUAGUUGUAUAGCAAGAAGAAUUAAGCCAGAUUUUUGUGUGUGGAAAGACAGUUUUCUAUCCACGUCUUUUUCUGUUUGUCAGAAGGUGGGAGUAUGGUCCAAAUAAAUCCAUUAGGUUACUCCUGCAGCAUGCGCUUUUAGCUUCUCUCUUGACUGAGGAUCAAAUAUCCCUUUGUGAGCUGGCCCUCAGCUCCUUUGCUCAUGUGUACAAACCUCAGAUGUUACUACAUUUUAUAUCUACCAGAGCUAUUCAAGCAAUAGUAUUUGAACCACUAGCCUUUUAAAUAAAAUUCUGCCCCAUUACUGAUGUGCAGAUAUUGAGUUCACUUUCAUUUUUUGCCAGAUUUCUUUGCACUACUUUAGGUAAAAAUAGUUAAUCUAUUUUUCUUUGACAUCCUAGUUUGCGUCAGUGACAGAACUUACUGCUUAGUCUUUGUACUUUUUAAAAAAUCUAUAAAUUUAAUGCACUGUCCAAGUGAAAUGUCCUAGUUGUCAUUGUGAUUAAGGGGCCAACUUUCCAGGCAGCUAGCAGAGAUACUAUUCUCUUCCUCUCCCAGCAAAUUUGUAUUCCUUCGCCCACGCAUUCCUGCUAUACUAGAUGGCAGCCAGUGAUGGAACUAUAAAGAUGUCUGUGGUCAUAUGUUGAAUGUGGCAGCUUGAAGAUGUACUGCCACGGGUGAUCUAGGGCAGGCUGUCUUCCAGUCCAUGUGUUCUCGGUCGCCGUAGACAGCGCUCUGGCUACCACCGUGAGGCUACUUGAACUGUCAGGGGCAUCUGCCUAAACCAGAAUCUUUUGUCAGAAACCUUAACCCAACAAAACAAAUCUUGAGUAGCUCAUGCCCGGCUCUUAGGAAUUUUGUCUGUUUAAAAAAAAAAAAAAAAAAAAAGUCCAACUUACUUUAUUUUAUUUUUUUAACCUAGUCACUGUUUACAAUUGUAUGCUAAAGCCUGAAAUAUUGUCUGUGCUGUGGUGUAUGAGCAUUGCCAACUUUAUAUUUAUUGCAGUGAAGAAGAAACUAAAAAUAUAUGGAAAUGAGGAGCAUGUCCAAGCUCCUAAAUCCGUGUGGGUGCAUGUGGGAGAAGUGAGUUAGGGCCUCUUGAAAGGAGGCUUUUUGGAGAGGGGUCCCCCAGGUUUCUUGGUGUUCCUGCUUGGGGAUCACUGCUGCUAGCUGACUGGACCUCCCCAUUGGAAGUUUGUGAUUUUGCUUUGGCAAAGUUUCAUUGACUAGUAGAACUCAUUCUGUUUUAGUGUAUAUUUCAAUAUAAAUGUAAACAUUUUGCUC
RNAcentral lists this long non-coding RNA (2506 nucleotides) under Homo sapiens (human). Its description in RNAcentral is "non-protein coding lnc-SIDT2-2:2". The record is from RNAcentral. Lineage: Eukaryota; Metazoa; Chordata; Mammalia; Primates; Hominidae.